This is a long non-coding RNA of Notolabrus celidotus (New Zealand spotty), 554 nucleotides long. RefSeq lists it as uncharacterized. Lineage: Eukaryota; Metazoa; Chordata; Actinopteri; Labriformes; Labridae. The record is from RefSeq and is a predicted model, not a curated record. The transcript has 2 exons.
CAUUUUUGUCUACCAUAUAAAUUUUAGCUACCGCUGCCAUGUCCUUCACAGCAUUUAUAGAGAACCUUGCUUUCUUAAACUAAUCCAAGGAAGCCUUAGGAUGACUCAAGUGUUUAAGGACACAGUGAUAACGCCUCAUGACCCCCCCCCCCAAAAAGAAAAAAACAAUUAGAAAAAAAUGGAAUAAAGGUUGUUGCUCUCCAAAUAUUGUUUUGGUGCAUGUCAGUUGCAGGGUAAGGUCAGGCUCAACUUUGGUUAAUUAUGAGGAGAUGGAAUCACAACCAAUAGGAACAGUGUGUGCAUAGACUCCCCUAGCUUUUCUCAAGACCCUAGCUUUCUUAAAUGCUUUGGUCAUCCUUGGCCUCCUUGGAUAAGUAAGGGGAAUCAUCAUGCGGGUUAAAUUGAUUCACUUUUGCAUUCUGUGUUUAAGAUGAGUUCAAUGACUGCAUGACUCUGUUUUGUUUUGAGUUCCAGUGUUUAAGGCUCUUAAGUUCACUCAAUCACUGUCAUGUUUAAACUAAAGGCUACAGAAUAAAGAGCACUUUGGAUAAUCC